UAUGGCGACCGGCGCACGGGUGAGUAACGCGUAUGCAACUUACCUAUCAGAGGGGAGAGCCCGGCGAAAGUCGGAUUAAUACCCCAUAAACAGGGGUCCCGCAUGGGAAUAUUUGUUAAAGAUUCAUCGCUGAUAGAUAGGCAUGCGUUCCAUUAGGCAGUUGGCGGGGUAACGGCCCACCAAACCGACGAUGGAUAGGGGUUCUGAGAGGAAGGUCCCCCACAUUGGUACUGAGACACGGACCAA
RNAcentral lists this ribosomal RNA (246 nucleotides) under uncultured bacterium. RNAcentral describes it as "partial 16S ribosomal RNA". It matches the Rfam family "Bacterial small subunit ribosomal RNA", at positions 87 to 334 of the family's 1533-position model. The record is from RNAcentral.